RNAcentral lists this ribosomal RNA (253 nucleotides) under uncultured bacterium. RNAcentral's name for it is "partial 16S ribosomal RNA". It matches the Rfam family "Bacterial small subunit ribosomal RNA", at positions 526 to 779 of the family's 1533-position model. The record is from RNAcentral.
CGUAGGGUGCGAGCGUUGUCCGGAAUUAUUGGGCGUAAAGGGCUCGUAGGCGGUUUGUCGCGUCGGGAGUGAAACCCAGGGCUUAACCCUGGGCUGGCUUCCGAUACGGGCAGACUAGAGGUAUGCAGGGGAGAACGGAAUUCCUGGUGUAGCGGUGAAAUGCGCAGAUAUCAGGAGGAACACCGGUGGCGAAGGCGGUUCUCUGGGCAUUACCUGACGCUGAGGAGCGAAAGUGUGGGGAGCGAACAGGAUU